RNAcentral lists this ribosomal RNA (479 nucleotides) under uncultured bacterium. RNAcentral describes it as "SSU rRNA". It matches the Rfam family "Bacterial small subunit ribosomal RNA", at positions 26 to 518 of the family's 1533-position model. The record is from RNAcentral.
AGGACGAACGCUGGCGGCGUGCUUAACACAUGCAAGUCGAACGGAAAGGCCCUUUCGGGGGUACUCGAGUGGCGAACGGGUGAGUAACACGUGGGUGAUCUGCCCUGCACUUUGGGAUAAGCCUGGGAAACUGGGUCUAAUACCGAAUACACCCUGCUGGUCGCAUGGCCUGGUGGGGGAAAGCUUUGGCGGUGUGGGAUGGGCCCGCGGCCUAUCAGCUUGUUGGUGGGGUGAUGGCCUACCAAGGCGACGACGGGUAGCCGGCCUGAGAGGGUGUCCGGCCACACUGGGACUGAGAUACGGCCCAGACUCCUACGGGAGGCAGCAGUGGGGAAUCUUGCGCAAUGGGCGGAAGCCUGACGCAGCGACGCCGCGUGGGGGAUGAAGGCCUUCGGGUUGUAAACCCCUUUCAGCAGGGACGAAGCGAAAGUGACGGUACCUGCAGAAGAAGCGCCGGCUAACUACGUGCCAGCAGCCGC